RNAcentral lists this unclassified non-coding RNA (334 nucleotides) under Hevea brasiliensis (rubber tree). Lineage: Eukaryota; Viridiplantae; Streptophyta; Magnoliopsida; Malpighiales; Euphorbiaceae. The record is from RNAcentral.
UUCUCGUUCAAUGCCAAGAGUAACCAUUGGCCAGUAUCAGGAAGAGGAGAUGCGUCACUGUGCCAAUCGAGACCGAGGACGGCAGUGACGAAUCGAACGGAGAGGGCUUCGAAGAGCAGAGCGGCGAGCAUAAAGAGCAUGGAUGAUAGAAAUGGAAUGGCGGAACGGAACUCGGAGGACCAGUGCUUGUAGAAGGGAACACGAACGACGGCGGCAAGGGCAAGGAGGGACCAGAGGGCUGGCUGAAGACGGGAAUGCCAUGCCGGCGAAAGGUGGCUGAGGUAGUCGAUGGAGACAUAUGAUAUGGCGAUGAGGCCAAGCCCGCCGAUCUUCG